AGUUCCCGUUCCUUUCCGCGGCCGACUGCGGUCUUGAGGGUGCUGGACUGCCGCGGGGUGCGUGGCGCUCGGGGGCGCCGGCUGACGGCGGCCUGGAGGGCGUCCUCGGCGGUGUCUGGACGCGCGCUUUGCCUCUUCUCUGCGACAGAUGCGCCAGAGUUUUAAGUUAACCCCCAGGUCUCACGUAUCCUAAGUGAUCUACCUAUAACCUAGAUGCUGCUUUACUUUUUCUAAGGGACUUUGAAGCUCUUCGUAAAACACCAGGGAAGAUAAAGCUCUA
RNAcentral lists this long non-coding RNA (280 nucleotides) under Homo sapiens (human). RNAcentral describes it as "HSALNT0360509". Lineage: Eukaryota; Metazoa; Chordata; Mammalia; Primates; Hominidae. The record is from RNAcentral.